This 65-nucleotide transfer RNA is filed under the name Vesperocoris paddocki. RNAcentral describes it as "tRNA-Gln". The record is from RNAcentral. Lineage: Eukaryota; Metazoa; Arthropoda; Insecta; Hemiptera; Miridae.
AUUCAGGUGUUUUUGCAUGAAGAAUUUUGAUUUCUUCGGGUUUAGUUAAAUUCUAAAGAAUAUAA